This 468-nucleotide ribosomal RNA is filed under the name uncultured Comamonadaceae bacterium. RNAcentral's name for it is "bacterial SSU rRNA". It matches the Rfam family "Bacterial small subunit ribosomal RNA", at positions 30 to 491 of the family's 1533-position model. The record is from RNAcentral. Lineage: Bacteria; Pseudomonadati; Pseudomonadota; Betaproteobacteria; Burkholderiales; Comamonadaceae.
AUUGAACGCUGGCGGAAUGCUUUACACAUGCAAGUCGAACGGCAGCACGGACUUCGGUCUGGUGGCGAGUGGCGAACGGGUGAGUAAUGUAUCGGAACGUGCCCAGUCGUGGGGGAUAACGUAGUGAAAAUUACGCUAAUACCGCAUACGAUCUACGGAUGAAAGCGGGGGAUCGCAAGACCUCGCGCGAUUGGAGCGGCCGAUAUCAGAUUAGGUAGUUGGUAGGGUAAAGGCCUACCAAGCCAACGAUCUGUAGCUGGUCUGAGAGGACGACCAGCCACACUGGAACUGAGACACGGUCCAGACUCCUACGGGAGGCAGCAGUGGGGAAUUUUGGACAAUGGGCGAAAGCCUGAUCCAGCCAUUCCGCGUGCAGGAUGAAGGCCCUCGGGUUGUAAACUGCUUUUGUACAGAACGAAAAGGUUUCUACUAAUACUAGGAGCUCAUGACGGUACUGUAAGAAUAAGC